This is a non-coding RNA of Camellia sinensis, 684 nucleotides long. The record is from RefSeq and is a predicted model, not a curated record. Lineage: Eukaryota; Viridiplantae; Streptophyta; Magnoliopsida; Ericales; Theaceae.
UAUUUUUUUUAGGAUUCCACAAUUCAAAACAAUACCUAGUGAAUUUUGCAGGCUUCUAGAGGAGUCGAAUUGUGUGGGGAUGUGCAUCAACCUCUGUAAGAUGCCUACUCAAACCUUCAUUAAGGACUACUUAGGAAUGCCACUCAACAUGGUCCCAAAUUAUGAUGAUAUGAGUUGCGAUAUGAUAUACGGUCAGGAUCCUCCCCCAGCAACCGAAGAUCCAGCAUUUAAGCAACCUUGCUACAAUCUAUGCAAAGAAAAGCAAAAGCACAACACAAGAUGUUCCGGCUAAGGUAGAAGGAACUUGCCAUUUUAAAAGAAAAAAUAAAAAUGGAGAAGGAGAAGGAUAUUGAAGGAGCUACUUUUCAAGCCAAUCUUCGGUUCUAAUCAUCAUUUUGUAUAAAUAUCGAUCCUUCUCGUAAACUAAUCAAUGAAGAUAUUGUUCAUAUACUUUGAUUAUUAAACCCUAUAAAAUGGCAGCUUAUGCUUAUAUGCAAUUUAGAAAUUUCUAUUAUUUGUUAGGCAUUGUCCACAUUACUAAAAUACAUCCUCUUUUUUUUUUUGGUUAGCCAAAAUUUGAUUGUAGCUACCCAUUUUAGCAAUGUUCCAUUGGGGCCAGAUGUGAGUAAACUCAUUUAGAUCUGUUAGUAGGCAAGGCCCAUUCUAAUUACCCUCAUCAAGAAC